Musca domestica (house fly) is the source of this 6170-nucleotide long non-coding RNA. RefSeq lists it as uncharacterized. Lineage: Eukaryota; Metazoa; Arthropoda; Insecta; Diptera; Muscidae. The record is from RefSeq and is a predicted model, not a curated record. The transcript is spliced from 3 exons.
GGCAGUGGAAACCGCAUUCUAUGUUUCAAAAUGUUAACAUUUGUGGCACAGAGCUUCGCGCGCAGCAGGGCGUUUUUGUCCGGUUUUGGUAAAGUUGAAAAGCUUACCGCUCGCCAUGGUGGCCGGGGCAUUUCUACCUUUUUGUUCAUACUUGAUCCUUUUAUGCGCCUCCACGAUUUUAUUUUACUAAGAUAAAUUGCUUUUACAACGUUAUUUAACCAGUAGGCGAAAACGUUAUUUACCGAUUUGCAGUAAUCCUCAAAACUCUGUGUUUCACUUGUCUCUGAAGACGAGGCGCUUGUAUCCACAUGCAAUGUUUGCAUAGCCUUUUUCUUUAGUUUUGUAUAAAACGUAUAACAACAUAAACGCAAAAAUAUUGUCCCGAUUUCGAAAUAACAAACAGACUUUAGAUAAGUUGCUAAGGUUACAAAUGUAAAAUGUGCACCUAGCUGUUUUGGCAAUUUCUCAAAUAGCUUCACCGUAAAACGUAAAUAUUAGAAAUGUUAUGUAGAAAGCGUAAUGUUUUCUUUUCAGAAUAUAAUUUUAAUUCUUACAAACGAUAAAUUUUAGCAUUGCGUGUAUUCAAAAUAUAUAGUGAAACACAUUCUCACAAAAAAUUGUUCAAUGUUAUUCAGGAUUUCAUCUGUCACCAUAUUGAUUAGCUAUUUUAAUUUGCACUUUAUAAUAAUUGGCGUGAAACAGUUAAGACAAAUCACAAAAUUCGAAAACUAUAUUAUUUCGUGUUUUAUUUAUUCAUUAUAUUUUUUCCCUGGGGAAGUGCAAUUAAGAGAUAAAAUUAGGUGUUAGAUUUUGUAAUUUAUUUUAAGUGUAAUAUUCACUACUUCUUAAGUUUUAAUUCAAUAGUUCAAAAGUUUUACUUAAGUAAGGUAGCACUUAAGUUUUAAUAUAUAUGUUUUUAUUGGUCAGGCUUUAUCCCUAUAUUGUUGUUUUUAUAAAAAAAAACCUUUGUUUAUUAGUGGAGAACGAUGGUAAUGUUUUCCAGGGGUUAAGGCAGGGAAUACCUAGGUUUCGGAAAGAGCCACCAAUCCUCAUCAGUUCCCUUGUUUUUUGUCUGGGAUAUUCUCCCCAGAAGUUAUUUUAAAAAUAACUUCUAUGACAAAAAACAUUUUUACCCAACUGACUAGAUCGUAAGCUCAAUAGAAGAGGAACCAAAGAAUUAAAUAAAACUAAAAUUCUUUUCGAAAAUCUUCUAAAUCUUACAACCGCACUUAUAAACAUUUUCAUCUUUCUCCACUUGUUAUGCUUUCGUUCAACCUGAACGAAGUAGCAUAACCAUGUAAGUUGGUUUUGUCUGUAACAACAAAAACCCCUUCGUCGACCGUGCCUUGUCUAUUAAUAGAACAGUGUGGCUUGUUUGUUCGGGAUACCGUAGUAUUUUGUUGUUGCAAAAUGGUCAGGCUUUAUCCCUUUAUUGUUGUUUUUAUAAAAAAAACAACGUUUGUUUAUUAGUGGAGAACGAUGGUAAUGUUUACCAGGGGGUAAGGCAGGGAAUACCUAGGUUUCGGAAAGAGCCACCAAUCCUCAUCAGUUCCCUUGUUUUUUGUCUGGGAUAUUCUCCCCAGAAGUUAUUUUAAAAAUAACUUCUAUGACAAAAAAAUAUUUUUUUCCCAAGUGACUAGAUCGUAAGCUCAAUAGAAGAGGAACCAAAGAAUUAAAUAAAACUAAAAUUCUUUUGGAAAAUCUUCUAAAUCUUACAACCGCACUUAUAAACAUUUACCGUAUUCACCGUAGUAGUUUCAAAUUACGUAUCUUAAAUUCGUAAUUGGUACUACAGUCGGUGACACAAAAUUUUUUGUGCAGGUAUUUUGACGGUUUUAGGUACAAUACUCACCGAAGUUGUUAGAAAUGUCGUAUUUGAAAUUCGUAAUGAAUACUACAGACUGUGACAGAAAAUUGUCUAUGCAGGUCCAGGUCUUCGUAUAGCUCCGAUAUAACGGUACCUCCCUAUAUACGGUAUUUUGAAGAUGCUAAAUAUACCCGUUUUUAAUAUGGUAAUGGCUUAUAACAAACAACGCCUAUGUAGGUCCACGUCGUAAAGACCCCAAUAAAACUGCUAUGUUUGGUAUUUUUAAGAUUUAAAGAGAAUUUUUAACGGAUUUUUUUUUUGUUUUAAAAAUAAAUUUCCAAGUCUAAUUUUGAGUGAAGUUAUUUUCAAUAUUCUUCAUUAAAGCUAAUCGAUCUCGCUUUAACAGAUCAAAUGCUCCCACAAAGUUAGUCCCGUUCUCAGAAAAUAUACAAGACGGACAAUCUCGCCGACGUAUAAACCUAAAAAAGCGGAAGUAAAGGCAUAUGUCGAAAAGUCGCUUGUGGGUACCAUAUGUAUAGCCUUAGUUGGGUUUGCUUUUUGUGUAUUAAACAAAUUCGACAUUUGAGCCAUGUGGUAGCAUUAUUGGUUGCCGUUCGCUAUAUGUAAGGACUGGCGAUUGUACCAAUCGUCCAUGUAAUCACAUUAAUCUCUAGAGAUUUACGUGUCUACACAAGAACAAGGACAGGUUGCAGGCCUCGAGCUGGAAAUCCAAUCAGGACACAUUACCCCAAGGUCCUAAGAGGUUAACUCUGGUUGAAUGUUUCAAGCGCCAACAGCAAAUUAAGGAAGAAAACCUGACCCGGUUUUCCUCCACGGAAAAACCUAAACACCACAAAUGAGGCAAAUUGUACGCCUGCUACUACAACCGGCAGCCCUCAUAGAAGCUGUGAAUGCCGAUCUCCAUCAUCUUUGCAAAAAGCCACACAAAUCUGACUACAAAUAGAAGCGCUGGAAUCUCAGAUGAAAUGUAACAAUUAAAAAAGAAGCUGCGUUUCGGACAUAAUUAUAGGUUAAUUUAAUUUUCCGUUAUAGGUUGAAGUACCCAUUACGAACUUCAAAUACGAAAUUUGACACACUUCCGGUGUAUAAUGUUGCGAAAAUGCUGGAAAUACCGAAUAUCUCGUGGUAGCGUUAUAUGGGUGCAAUACUAAAACGUAGACCUAUAUAGGUUGUAGUACGAACUUCAAAAACGAAAUUUGACGCACAUCCAGUGUAUAAUGUUGCGAAAAUGCUGCAAAUACCGAAUAUCUCGUGGUAGCGUUUUAUGGGUGCAAUACUAAAACGUAGACCUAUAUAGGCAGUUCUCUUUCAGGGGUUAAGUACUCAGAGAGAACUCCUGGUUUGGAUUUUCAGACUAUUCCAUUGAAAAAUGUGCUAAAAUCAUCAAAAUACCGAAUACCGGGGUACCAUUGUAUGGGAGAUAUACGAUAUCGUGGAACUAUACAGAAAUUUCCCUUUCAGAGGGUAAAGUAUUCGCAGAGAACGUCUUCUCUAGAAUUUAUGACAAUGCCAUUAAAAAUGAGAUUAACAUCAUCAAAAUAUCGAAUGGAGGUACAGUUAUAUGGGAGAUAUACGAUAUCGUGGACCUAUAUAGACAAUACUCUUUCAGGGUGUGGAGUACUCAGAAGGAACUACUUGUAUGGAUUUUAAACCAAUUACAAUUUAAAAUGUGGCUAAAAUCAUCAAAAUGUCGAAUAUCUGUAGGUGCAGUUAUAUGGGGGAUAUACGAUAUCGUAGACCAAUAUAGACAAUUCUUUUUCAAGGGGUUAAAAAAGAACCCCUUGUGUAGAAUUUUAGACAAUUCCAUUGAAAAAUGUGGUUAAAAUCAUCAAAAUAAAUGUGGUUAAAAUCAUCAAAAUACCGCAUAUCGGGAGAUGUACGAUAUCGUGAACCUAUAUAGACAAUUCUCCUCCAGGGAGUAAAGUACCCGCAAAGAACUCCUUUUGUAGAAUUUAAAAAUUGUGCCUAAAUUCAUCCAAAUACCGAAUAUUGAAAGGUACCGUUAUGUGGGGAACAUUCGAUAUCGUGGACCGAUAUAGCCCAUCUUCGAACUUGUCCUACCUGCACACAAAAAAUUGAUCUGUGUGUUUUAGCUAACGUGAUUACAACAGAAGGGCAGGGACAGGUCUACAUUUAAGAAGGGACAGGGCUAAAUCGUCUUAGAAUUUUACGUUGAAUAAGAAUAUAUAUACUUUGUUGGAUCUAAAAUAUUAUUUCGAUGAGUUACAAACUGAAUGACGAACUUAAUAUACCCUUCAUGCAAUGUAUGAUGGAGGGUAUAACAAUUCACGAAACAGCCAAAUUGAAUAAAUAAAAAUACAAAAAUAAAAUUGUUCCGAGUUUCUACUAUUUUAUAUUUCAUUAGGAAUGCAAAUUGUUAUGGUCCACCUACAUCGACACUCUGGUAGGGUUCCGGCACACUCAGUCAUGGCAUUUCGAUCCGGGGGAUUCUCAACCCUUACCACCAGCAGCUGAAAUCUGUUCCCACACAUUGCCCAACCAACCUUGACCUUUUGUUCCAAAAACACAUAUAAAUUUUAAAAGGGUCCCGAAUUCCUACAGACGCUUAUCUCACGCGAAACCUACAUCCUAGUAUCCUCUCUCACAAAUAGAAAUCAGCACAUCAUAUUGCUAUUUAGGCAAUAAAACAAACAUUUAUUUGAGAUUUUGUCAUCGUUACUUAACCUAUAAAUACAUAAUCAUUUAGGAUCACAAAAACUGAACUACUUAUACCGCGGAAAUCAAUUUUGUACAGCUGGGAAUCACUAACUCAGAAUAAAAGCUUUUUCUAGACGCGAAAGCCAAUGCGGCUUCACAACACACAAAGACAUAACCUACCUACCUAAAAAAGCUCUCUUAAGCGGUGGACGAAAUUUCAAUAGUCAUGGGAGUUUUUUUUAUAUUCGCUAAGGGUUAAUCCUACAUUCCCGAAAUUAAAAGCACCGGCAUAAAUAAUCCUCACAAAAUAAAACUUAAGCACUAGGAUACGAAAUAUGGACAACAGAAAUUUAAGAGUUAGACUACAUCAAGCUUGAAUUAGUAUUAUAUUUCGUAUUAUAUUUAUAUUUUUUCGUAGGUAAAAAACCUGAAUUAAAUCAUCAAUGGGUAGCUGGGGAAUAUGCUAACUAUCUAGUGUACUUAGUUAUUCCGUAUAUGAAAGUUAUCUGUAAUUAUAAAUACGGGUAUUUCCCAGUCAUGCCACCAUUGCAUCAGCCAAAGGAGGGUUUCAUAUCCAACUCACACUUUAUUUUGUUGUCAGAUGUUGGAAUUUGUACACGAAAAAAAUUCUGCUCUCCCCUCGUUUAGAUUAUUGAGGAGGACAGUUGAUUUAUUUUUAAUACUUCUGGUGCAAACUAAAAAGAAAAGGAACAUAAAAAACCCGACCACCAUCAGUAUUAGAUACAUUAAAUUUGCACAAUCACCACUUACUUAAAUGUUUUUCUGCCCAAAACAUCGAUUAAAAACGAACUAUUUUCAACAAAAUAAACCUACUUUCGAACUUAUUUAUUUUUGUAUUUUUGUAACAUUUACUUCUUAUUUUUUUCUAUUUUGGCGAAAACGAAGUCAAAAAAAAAAAAAAUCCAACAUCCAGGUUAGGAACGGCACUUAAAUGUCCAGCGUUUUCCCAACUCGGCCUCCUUUAUACCCUCGGUCAAAAUGUCGGAAUUUUCCCUAUUUUCAAAAAAAAUUCUCUUUUCAUAGAAGAUUUAUUUAUUUUCCUUUCUCCACCGGUUCUAAUAAAUCCUACGAUAUUAAUCAGUGUUGUAUUUACUUUACUGUCAUCAUUCCACAUUGGCUGACAAUAAUACAACCCUGAAGUGGCAUCACCUUUUUUUGGUCCGGAAUGUUGUACUGACCGCCUCCGCUUUAUUUUUGAGACAGUGGCUGAUAACUCGGUUGGUGCGACGAACUGUCGACGGUUUUUUAAAGAAAAUACAAUUAAUUGACCUAUAAGUCACAUGCAACAAUACUUCCCCAUUUUGAUUUCAGUCAAUCAAAAUGGUGAUGUUCGUGACUUAUUUGUCUGUUUUUGUUUUAUAUAAUUUAUAAAUUUGCCUAAAGUGAUGGAAACCCGUGGUAAAAAAAAUUAGGGGGACUUACUGUCGGCCACGCAAUAGAAAGGAAAUGGAAGAAGUCAUUUUCAGAAUAUGAAAUUCAGAUUUUCUUCAAUUUGGAAUACUCGUAUUUGCUCUUUGUAUGUAAAUGCGUAUUUAAUAUAAGGACGGAUUUUCCAAUGGACAUGUUCGGUUUAUUAACAUUUUAUUACCCAUAAGCGUUAGUAUUUUCGGAGCAGUAUUGGUGGUGUAUAAUCUCUUGUUAUGAACACAAAGCGGUUGGCGUG